GUGAAGCAGCUCCUUCAGGUAAAGACCCAGCAGAGACAACGAGGGGUUUUAAAGCGUGUCAUGGAUCAGAGGCGAAAGGUAAAGCGGCCUUUAAGGUGCCCGCCCGAGCACAGCCCGUGUUUUACUGAGCUCCUUCGGCGCGUAUGGGAAUGCUCGGCGUUAUUCCAGGCCUGGAAGGAGCCGACAGGGAUUUUUAUUUUUGUUUUUUUAACCUUGUUUUCAUUGUUUUCUGGCUCCGUGGCUUUGUGCUCACACAAAGGGAAUUUCACCUGCUGUUCAGAACAAAAGGACACGGAAAGUUUUCCAAGCACAGAGAGAGGGAUGAGGGGAAGGAGCUCUACAGGAGCAAAACGAGUUGUUGCUGUUUUUUUUUUUUGCAGCAAGCUGUAAAACAUCCCCGUCCUUCGGUGCCUGCCAGAGGCACACAAGUUCCCUGUCCCCAUCGGGCCACCCCAGCGAGAUCCCCCAGAUGCUGCCGAUUGGGGCUGCUCCGAUUUGGGGUGCAGGGGGGCCGUGGGAUGGCGACACGGUCACUUUCUGAGAGCAAAACGCUGCUAAGUGCUUGCCACAGGCCCUACGCCCAUGGACAGCUCAACCCCCUGGGAAAAAGCCACCCCCAAAAUUCCUGGCCCGGGCCAUUUCUGCCGGAGCUUUCCCGACACCAGAGGGCUGCAAUAGGUGGAAGUGAUCGACUCACUAUGAGACUGCUGUUUUUGCCUCCGACUUGGGAUCAGGCAGAGCUACAGGAGCGGGGGAGCCGUGGCGCUGCCGCCCUGGGAGCAGGCACUUACCUCUCACUGCAUCGAGCCCCCCGGCCCCGGGUCCUGCGGAGUUAGCUGGCGAGAGACCCCGCAUCCGCUCCGGUUCCUCCCAGGACCAGCAUUCGACUGCUGCUUCGUAGGCACAGACCCAACCCUUCCAUUGCAACCACACGAAAAAAAAAAAAAAAUUAAGAUCUUCUUCCAAAAGAAAAAAAAAAAAGAGGGAGCUUAAAAAAAAAACAAACAACAAAACACGUUUUUUUUUUUUUGUUUGGUUUCCCUGGAGAAAAAAAAAAAAUAGAUAAAUCCCAGCGGCCAAGAGAUCCAGACUCAGGUGAAUUUAGCUUCAAACUCCCUCUGCGCUUUCAGAGGCUUCACCCUCAAAUGGGCUCUGGAAGAUGCUGGGGGCCCCAUCGCUGCAAAAGUGUCAUCAAAUAUCCUUCGGGCUCAACUCCGCUCCUGCCCGGGGAGGGAAGACUUCUUCGCUGCUGGAUGCGUGCUGUGUAGUUGGCAGGGACCUGCCUGCUUCGGUCUCAGCGUGGAGGGUGGGUUGCUUGCUUGCUCGGUGGUUUGUUGUUUCUUUUUUCUUUUUUUUUUCCCUCUGCUAUUGGUUUCCUUGCUAUCUGAUCCUGAGCGAGCGCUGCAGCUCGGCGCUUCCCUGCUUUUCCCCAGCCGUUUGACAGGGAAUGAAACGCAGACACCCAGCGAGACAGGCUCCAGCUUCUACAAAGCUCCACUCCCUCCUACCGCCUUUGUCCGUGAACAGCAACUCCUCCAACUCUGCCCGUAGACACAAGUGAACCUCUGCAUCAGCACUUUCCUAAUGGCUGCUUCGCCCGAGCCCUUCGGCCCUUCUUCUUCCUCGCUUCCUCUCCUCCACCUCGAUUUUCCUCCUCCCUUUGAUUUUCCUGGCUGAGCAGAGCCCCGGCCGGCGGCGAUGCUCCCCCCGGCUCCAGCUCAGCUCCCCAACGCCGGCUGCUGCGGCCGGGGGCUCGCGGCCCCGUGCUCCAUCACCGCCCUUUCUGGGCUCCUUCCACGAAAAAUCGAUGCUGGGCACGGCCACCCCGCAGGCUUCGCUCCCGUUUCGGCUCUUUUAGGGGCAGGGUCUGCAGGAAGAGAAGCAGGGGGCAGGGGGAGGGCGGGGAAGCAAAGCCACUUCUUUUUAUUGCGGGCAGGGAUUUUUUUUUAUUUUUUUUUUUUUAAGGUUGGUUGGAGUCCAAGUUUAUUUCUUGGUGGUGAGCAUUAUUUUAAGCUCUUUGGGAGGCUUCGGGUGUCUCCAGGUCACCCUGUCCUUAUAAAAGUGAGGCCUUUUUGGAGAGGGUCGAAGCAAAGUCCUGCUCCGGCAGCCUCUUCCCCCACGGUGGGCUCCCAACCCAGGCUGGCCCCCAGCCAGCAGGAGACACAAACCAGCCCCCGGCUGUAACUUUUGCUGUGUUUGCCUCCGCUCUCCGGCACCCGCGAGAUCCCGGGGCUGCCUCCUGCUCCUGGGGGGAGCUUUGCAGGCUUCGUUAAAAACGACAGCCGGCAGACCUCCAGCCUCAGCAGCGAUGCUCAGCAUCGCUCAGCUGAGCCGUCCCACAGCCUAAAAACCGGUGGCACACCCGCGGGUCACGUAACACCCACGCAGCCCCCCAGCACGUUAAGGGGUUGCCUCCCCACCUCCCUUCCUCACAUCCUCCCGUGCAUUCCUCACCCUCUUCUUCAUCUCCCCCCGCGGUUUGGGACCGCUGCUCCCUUCCUCCCUUGGGCAGUGACUCUCCUCGCUCCCGCUGCCCAUCUCCCUUCUCUCCCCAGCCGUGUCCGACGGAGCACCGUGUUUCCCAGCACCAUUUUUGCCUCUCUCCAUCACCCCCAAGCUCCAGAAGAGCUCCAAGGCCAGGUCAGACCUUGCCAUGCUGCCUCCUUCCCCUUCUCCACGCCGUCUUGCCCCAGCCUCACCCUAUUGCUUGCACCAGCCCCACAACACUGACUUUUUACCAACGCUUUGAAAUCCCUGGCUGGAAAACCCAAACCCCAGGGGAUGCUCAGGGGGGUCUGCAGCCCUGGAGGCCAGCUCGGAGGGCGACAAGCACCCAGCACCACGAGAGGUGCCAAAGAUGAGGCCAGGGGUCGGGAUCUGGCCUGAUCCCACAGCCAGACCAGCUUUGGCCACGUGCUUUGGAGCUAUUAAAGUGAGGGAUGGAGAGGGGAGGGAUGCAGCUUGCUCUGGGGGGGUCCUUGCAGCCCCCUCUCCCCCGGGAGCCCCAUCCCACCGCCCGGGAGCGCCGGCACCGCGUCUGCGCGGGGAGGCGAGCGAGUCAGCACAGAGCCAUUAGGGCUAAUUUAAUCAAGACGGAUGGGCGGGUUGGAGGGCUGCCGCCCAUAAAUCCCGCGCUUGCACUGCAUUAGUGUCAGGGCUCCUGGAGGAAGAGGCUUGGGGGGGGGGGUGGGCAGCAGGGCCCGAGAAACAUGCUAAGUCACCCGUCCUGCCCAUGGCACCGGGUCACAGGGCAGCAGCUCAGGGCUGGGGUGCUCCCAAGCACAAGCUGAAGGGGACCCAAGGCCCCUGGAUGCCGGAUCCAUCCCAGAGCCAGGCUGAGACUCCUCUAACUCACCCCGUGCCAGCGCACCGUGGGGCUGUGGGAUGUCCCCAAAGUGAGGUGCUGCUCCUAGAAGGGCCAUUUUGGGGCUCUGGCUGGCAGUCUGAUGGCCCAAAGCAGCCUUCCAACACUGCCCUCAUCCGUACGGGUGCUGGCUCUGCUCAGGCAGCCUGGGUGCACGAGAGGAGUCACCUACCCAAAUUAAAUACAGCCGUUACCGCGCUAUUAACAUGCCCUGAUGCUCCAUAGGCAGCCCUGCGGUGCUCGGAGCUGCUCCCAGUGCAGGAUGUGGCCCUGAACAGGGCCAGGGAGCUGUGCCUUCUGCUCUGGGUCGGCACGGCAGAGCCGAGGGCCACAUCCUGCCCAAGGAACGGUCCACCAGGGGCUGUCAUUAGUGCCCUGCCCCAUGAGGAGCCACAGAGCAGACGAGCCAUUCCUCCCCGAAAAUAUCCAGCGCAGGGAACAAGACGUUGGCCUUCCUGCCAGCCAACAAACGGGGUUGCUUGCAGCCAGUGAAACUCUGCAGAGUUUGCUAAUAAAGGACUGCUCCGUCCAGCUGGAUUUGUCCCC
Anser brachyrhynchus (Pink-footed goose) is the source of this 3910-nucleotide long non-coding RNA. The record is from Ensembl. NCBI's taxonomy places the organism in Eukaryota, Metazoa, Chordata, Aves, Anseriformes, Anatidae.